RNAcentral lists this ribosomal RNA (468 nucleotides) under uncultured bacterium. Its description in RNAcentral is "partial 16S ribosomal RNA". It matches the Rfam family "Bacterial small subunit ribosomal RNA", at positions 28 to 507 of the family's 1533-position model. The record is from RNAcentral.
GACGAACGCUGGCGGCGUGCUUAACACAUGCAAGUCGAACGGAAAGGCCCUGCUUUUGUGGGUUGCUCGAGUGGCGAACGGGUGAGUAACACGUGAGUAACCUGCCCUUGACUUUGGGAUAACUUCAGGAAACUGGGGCUAAUACCGGAUAUGAGCUCCUGCUGCAUGGUGUGGGUUGGAAAGUUUCGGCGGUUGGGGAUGGACUCGCGGCUUAUCAGCUUGUUGGUGGGGUAGUGGCUUACCAAGGCUUUGACGGGUAGCCGGCCUGAGAGGGUGACCGGCCACAUUGGGACUGAGAUACGGCCCAGACUCCUACGGGAGGCAGCAGUGGGGAAUAUUGCACAAUGGGCGGAAGCCUGAUGCAGCAACGCCGCGUGCGGGAUGACGGCCUUCGGGUUGUAAACCGCUUUCGCCUGUGACGAAGCGUGAGUGACGGUAAUGGGUAAAGAAGCACCGGCUAACUACGUG